UACAGAGGUCUCAAGCGUUGUUCGGAUUCAUUGGGCGUAAAGGGUGCGUAGGCGGCGCGGUAAGUCGGGUGUGAAAUCUCGGGGCUUAACUCCGAAACUGCAUUCGAUACUGCCGUGCUUGAGGACUGGAGAGGAGAUUGGAAUUCCUGGUGUAGCGGUGGAAUGCGCAGAUAUCAGGAGGAACACCGGUGGCGAAGGCGGAUCUCUGGGCCUUGCCUGACGCUGAGGCGCGAAAGCUAGGGGAGCGAACAGG
RNAcentral lists this ribosomal RNA (253 nucleotides) under uncultured bacterium. Its description in RNAcentral is "partial 16S ribosomal RNA". It matches the Rfam family "Bacterial small subunit ribosomal RNA", at positions 524 to 776 of the family's 1533-position model. The record is from RNAcentral.